Molecule: unclassified non-coding RNA, 229 nt
Filed under: rhizosphere metagenome
Description: partial ribosomal RNA internal transcribed spacer region
Source: RNAcentral
GUAGGUGAACCUGCGGAAGGAUCAUUAUUGAAUGAAUGUAGAGUCGGUUGUCGCUGGUCCUUUCGGGGGCAUGUGCACGCCUUCUCUUUCAUCCACACACACCUGUGCACUCGUGAGACGGAAGCCCUCGGGCGUCCGUCUGCUCUACAUAAACUCAUAUCUAUAAUUUGAAUGUAAUUGAUGUAACACAUCUUUAAACUAAGUUUCAACAACGGAUCUCUUGGCUCUC